Molecule: long non-coding RNA, 655 nt
Organism: Rhipicephalus sanguineus (brown dog tick)
Lineage: Eukaryota; Metazoa; Arthropoda; Arachnida; Ixodida; Ixodidae
Exons: 5
Source: RefSeq, a predicted model, not a curated record
GAUUGCAUGCAGCUUCGCGGUCGCUCGGCAGACUGCUCCCCAGAAGAAAUGCCGCUUAUUUUCGACGACACUCGCGGGACAUAACUGACCCGUGAAGUGAGCUGUCCACGCUGGAGACACGGUGGCUCGCCUUUCGUCGUUGUCUGGCACGCAGCGCGCAGAGCUUCCUUCAGAGGUCAGUGUUCGUGCUGUACCAGAGAUCGUUCGAACAUGACAACCUCGUCGGAGGGACUGGACAGUGCUUCCACGGGAGGAAUUACGAGUGGAAUCACGAAGAGAAAUACACUCUUGCCGAGACAUACUACUGGGACAAUGCCACGGCGAAAAUAGUAAACCGGACAGUGUACACAUUUCCUGAAGCAACCGAAGGAUAUGACGUGCCGAAUGGGAUGGCCGUUUCCCCCUACAAAGACAAGCUCGUGUCCGUCUACUAUCCACUGGUCUUCUCAGAAUAUGAUAACUGCGACAUACUUCGUUCUCCAAGACAUGACAAUGGCUGCGAGCUGUGGGUCACCCUACAGGGAGUGCACAACAUCAGCAGCGCUUGCCUCUUCAUCUACGAUCUAUUAUGCGCCCCCAACAAGUUCCAAAUCUACGACGAGGAAUUCUGCAGGGAUAAAAUUCAAAUUAGAUAAUAAAAGCACAACGUAUUGCA